GACGUAGGAUGCAAGCGUUGUCCGGAUUUAUUGGGCGUAAAGAGUUCGUAGGUGGUUUGUUAAGUCUGAUGUUAAAGACCGGGGCUCAACCUCGGGACUGCAUUGGAUACUGGCAGACUGGAGUAUGGUAGAGGUCAGUGGAAUUCCAAGUGUAGCGGUGAAAUGCGUAGAUAUUUGGAAGAACACCGGUGGCGUAAGCGACUGACUGGGCCAUAACUGACACUGAGGAACGAAAGCCAGGGGAGCGAAUGGG
RNAcentral lists this ribosomal RNA (253 nucleotides) under uncultured bacterium. RNAcentral's name for it is "partial 16S ribosomal RNA". It matches the Rfam family "Bacterial small subunit ribosomal RNA", at positions 524 to 776 of the family's 1533-position model. The record is from RNAcentral.